Molecule: ribosomal RNA, 838 nt
Filed under: uncultured bacterium
Lineage: Bacteria
Description: bacterial SSU rRNA
Rfam family: Bacterial small subunit ribosomal RNA
Source: RNAcentral
CAGUCGUACGAGUUCUCGUUGAUGAUCGGUGCUUGCACCGAGAUUCAACAUGGAACGAGUGGCGGACGGGUGAGUAACACGUGGGUAACCUGCCCUUAAGUGGGGGAUAACAUUUGGAAACAGAUGCUAAUACCGCAUAGAUCCAAGAACCGCAUGGUUCUUGGCUGAAAGAUGGCGUAAGCUAUCGCUUUUGGAUGGACCCGCGGCGUAUUAGCUAGUUGGUGAGGUAAUGGCUCACCAAGGCGAUGAUACGUAGCCGAACUGAGAGGUUGAUCGGCCACAUUGGGACUGAGACACGGCCCAAACUCCUACGGGAGGCAGCAGUAGGGAAUCUUCCACAAUGGACGCAAGUCUGAUGGAGCAACGCCGCGUGAGUGAAGAAGGCUUUCGGGUCGUAAAACUCUGUUGUUGGAGAAGAAUGGUCGGCAGAGUAACUGUUGUCGGCGUGACGGUAUCCAACCAGAAAGCCACGGCUAACUACGUGCCAGCAGCCGCGGUAAUACGUAGGUGGCAAGCGUUAUCCGGAUUUAUUGGGCGUAAAGCGAGCGCAGGCGGUUUUUUAAGUCUGAUGUGAAAGCCCUCGGCUUAACCGAGGAAGCGCAUCGGAAACUGGGAAACUUGAGUGCAGAAGAGGACAGUGGAACUCCAUGUGUAGCGGUGAAAUGCGUAGAUAUAUGGAAGAACACCAGUGGCGAAGGCGGCUGUCUGGUCUGUAACUGACGCUGAGGCUCGAAAGCAUGGGUAGCGAACAGGAUUAGAUACCCUGGUAGUCCAUGCCGUAAACGAUGAAUGCUAGGUGUUGGAGGGUUUCCGCCCUUCAGUGCCGCAGCUAACGCAU